CCUACGGGAGGCAGCAGUAGGGAAUUUUCGGCAAUGGGGGAAACCCUGACCGAGCAACGCCGCGUGAGUGAAGAAGGUUUUCGGAUCGUAAAACUCUGUUGUUAGAGAAGAACAAGGAUGAGAGUAGAAUGUUCAUCCCUUGACGGUAUCUAACCAGAAAGCCACGGCUAACUACGUGCCAGCAGCCGCGGUAAU
Molecule: ribosomal RNA, 195 nt
Filed under: uncultured bacterium
Lineage: Bacteria
Description: partial 16S ribosomal RNA
Rfam family: Bacterial small subunit ribosomal RNA
Source: RNAcentral